UACGGAGGGUGCAAGCGUUAUCCGGAUUCACUGGGUUUAAAGGGUGCGUAGGUGGGUUUGUAAGUCAGUGGUGAAAUCUCCAAGCUUAACUUGGAAACUGCCGUUGAUACUAUAAAUCUUGAAUGUUGUGGAGGUGAGCGGAAUAUGUCAUGUAGCGGUGAAAUGCUUAGAUAUGACAUAUAACACCAAUUGCGAAGGCAGCUCACUACACAAAGAUUGACACUGAGGCACGAAAGCGUGGGGAUCAAACAGG
RNAcentral lists this ribosomal RNA (253 nucleotides) under uncultured bacterium. Its description in RNAcentral is "partial 16S ribosomal RNA". It matches the Rfam family "Bacterial small subunit ribosomal RNA", at positions 524 to 776 of the family's 1533-position model. The record is from RNAcentral.